RNAcentral lists this ribosomal RNA (1387 nucleotides) under uncultured marine bacterium. Its description in RNAcentral is "bacterial SSU rRNA". It matches the Rfam family "Bacterial small subunit ribosomal RNA". The record is from RNAcentral.
GAGUUUGAUCCUGGCUCAGGAUGAACGCUAGCGGCAGGCUUAACACAUGCAAGUCGAGGGGUAACGGGGAAGCUUGCUUCCGCCGACGACCGGCGCACGGGUGCGUAACGCGUAUACAAUCUACCUUGUACUGGGGUAUAGCCUUUAGAAAUGAAGAUUAAUCCCCCAUAGUCUCUUAGAGUGGCAUCACUUCUAGAGUAAAGGUUACGGUAUAAGAUGAGUAUGCGUUCUAUUAGUUUGUUGGUGUGGUAACGGCACACCAAGACUACGAUAGAUAGGGGCCCUGAGAGGGGGAUCCCCCACACUGGUACUGAGACACGGACCAGACUCCUACGGGAGGCAGCAGUGAGGAAUAUUGGACAAUGGAGGCAACUCUGAUCCAGCCAUGCCGCGUGCAGGAAGACUGCCCUAUGGGUUGUAAACUGCUUUUAUACAGGAAGAAACACCUCUACGUGUAGAGGCUUGACGGUACUGUAAGAAUAAGGAUCGGCUAACUCCGUGCCAGCAGCCGCGGUAAUACGGAGGAUCCAAGCGUUAUCCGGAAUCAUUGGGUUUAAAGGGUCCGUAGGUGGAUAAUUAAGUCAGAGGUGAAAUCUUGCAGCUCAACUGUAAAAUUGCCUUUGAAACUGGUUGUCUUGAGUUAUUAUGAAGUAGUUAGAAUAUGUAGUGUAGCGGUGAAAUGCAUAGAUAUUACAUAGAAUACCAAUUGCGAAGGCAGAUUACUAAUAAUCAACUGACACUGAUGGACGAAAGCGUGGGUAGCGAACAGGAUUAGAUACCCUGGUAGUCCACGCCGUAAACGAUGGUCACUAGCUGUUUGGACUUCGGUCUGAGUGGCUAAGCGAAAGUGAUAAGUAACCCACCUGGGGAGUACGUUCGCAAGAAUGAAACUCAAAGGAAUUGACGGGGGCCCGCACAAGCGGUGGAGCAUGUGGUUUAAUUCGAUGAUACGCGAGGGACCUUACCAGGGCUUAAAUGUAAGUUGCAUUAGCUAGAGAUAGCUAUUUCUUCGGACCACUUACAAGGUGCUGCAUGGUUGUCGUCAGCUCGUGCCCGUGAGGUGUCAGGUUAAGUCCUAUAACGAGCGCAACCCCUGUUGUUAGUUGCCAGCGAGUCAUGUCGGGAACUCUAACAAGACUGCCAGUGCAAACUGUGAGGAAGGUGGGGAUGACGUCAAAUCAUCACGGCCCUUACGUCCUGGGCUACACACGUGCUACAAUGGUAGGUACAGAGAGCAGCCACUGCGCGAGCAGGAGCGAAUCUAUAAAACCUAUCACAGUUCGGAUCGGAGUCUGCAACUCGACUCCGUGAAGCUGGAAUCGCUAGUAAUCGGAUAUCAGCCAUGAUCUGGUGAAUACGUUCCCGGGCCUUGUACUCACCGCCCGUC